AGUUUCUCCCACGUUAGACUACGAAUUCCAAAAAAAAACUCGCAACAUUUUUCCUUCUCAACAAUGUCCUUUUUGUCCACUUCCUUACUCUCAUCACAUUCUGAAUGCAUCCGUUUAAAAGAUCUCAAAUGACAC
Non-coding RNA from Caenorhabditis elegans, 135 nucleotides. The record is from Ensembl. NCBI's taxonomy places the organism in Eukaryota, Metazoa, Nematoda, Chromadorea, Rhabditida, Rhabditidae.